UGGGGAAUCUUGCACAAUGGGGGCAACCCUGAUGCAGCGACGCCGCGUGAGCGAUGAAGCCCUUCGGGGCAUAAAGCUCUUUCGACCGGAACGAUAAUGACGGUACCGGGAGAAGAAGCUGCGGCUAACUACGUGCCAGCAGCCGCGGUAAUACGUAGGCAGCAAGCGUUGUUCGGAGUUACUGGGCGUAAAGAGUGCGUAGGCGGUUUUCUAAGUUCGGUGUGAAAUCUCCCGGCUUAACUGGGAGGGUGCGCCGAAGACUGGGAAGCUGGAGUGUGGAAAAGGCAGGCGGAAUUCCUGGUGUAGCGGUGAAAUGCGUAGAUAUCAGGAGGAACACCGGCGGUGUAGACGGCUUGCUAGACCAUAACUGACGCUGAGGCACGAAAGCGUGGGUAGCAAACA
This 402-nucleotide ribosomal RNA is filed under the name uncultured bacterium. Its description in RNAcentral is "bacterial SSU rRNA". It matches the Rfam family "Bacterial small subunit ribosomal RNA", at positions 355 to 774 of the family's 1533-position model. The record is from RNAcentral.